ACAGUGUGUUGCUUGGGACAGUAAAUACGCCAAAGGAGAACUUAUCUUUGGGUCCCACAUGGCUACGUGACCCUCUGAUAUCACCAGUGUGAUGUUGCAGCUUCCCAGACACAGCUGUCUUUGAACACAUGCAACAUAGGGCUGUCAAUGAAUAAAUAAAACUCCAUGAGCAGGAGAGAGCCCACACCUAGACACCCUGCAAUUCGAUCCUGCUGUGUUUCACCUUCCACAGGCUUCGGCCACACGGUGCAUGUGUUUACAAAAAUCACACACACACACACACACACACACACACACACACACGGGAAACCAGAUUUUUUCUGUUGUGCUUUAUGGUGACACAAAUUAUGGGUUGCUCUAUUCUCCAUUGUUUCUAUGCAAACUGCUUGACUUUUUGUUCAUAAAAGUAAAAUUAGCAACAACAACAAAAAGAAUCUUUUUCUCCUCACUCCCACCCUUCUUGCUAUUUUAUAUCUAAAGGUUGAUACAACUCAUUGACUUGGGUAAAAUGGAGACAAGAGUCAACAGAAAGAGUACAGAAAAAAAACCCAGCCCCUCACUCAACACUUAUGAGGCCUUAGGUGGGGCUCUCGCUGAGAUCACCAUGAAUAACCCAGGUGAAGACAGGCCUGAAGCAAGCAGAGUCUUGCUGGCCCCAGGAGGAUUUCCCCCAAUGAGCAAGAAGAAACAUCCUCUUAUUUGACUGCUCGACAGGGAAGCUUACAGGAGGUGCCACUUUCUCGAGGCCUGCCUUCUGUAGGGAAGAAACAGGACUUGAGAAGCAAGGAGAACUCUGAGGAGCUGGCAGUCCAGACUCUGCCACCAAUCACUGGGUGGCCAGGGAUAGGAUGACCAGGUUGACAGGAGGAGGUGGGGCUGACUUUGAGUGUUCUAAUCCUGCCUCUUUAUUAACUAUAUAAAUGUGGACAAAGCCCUCCUAAGCCACUUCUCUUCAGGCUUAUUAUUUCCACCAAAGCGACCUGUUCUUUCUCCUACUCCAAUAGAGAAAUUGCUUCAAACUUGUUCUGGGCCCAGAUCUGUUUUCCAAGCAGUCUGCCUGGCUCAGAAAUUUAGCUCCUGCCAGGGACCACUUUCUUGUGCAAACAAGGACAGCUAUUUCCCCCAGGCCCUGGCUCAGAGGAAUGUUAAACUCUGUUAAGGCCUUUGUGGGACAUCCUGGGAGUAAAUACAAUUUAUAUCCAUUUCAUCGUUGGAUGCCGGGCCUGUUUUAUAGAGCUCUCUAUCGCAGUUACUCAACCCAGUCCAAUCAUGUCUAAUAUAUUCAUAGCCAAGAUAUAAGAUAUUCUGUUGCUGCUGUCCUUGAAGGAUCUUUUUACUUUGGACUUAACUGAUCCUCUCAAAUGGGUAGCCAGGGCCAGGGAAUGCGCACGGGGAUUAACAGGACCGAGUUAAGGCUGACCGCAAAGGCAAAUCGUUGCCAUUCACUCAUUAAGUCAUCAAACAUAUUACUGAGCUCCUGCUGCUUCAUUCCAGGCGCUGUGCUAGACACUGAGGACACAGAGAUGAAAGCU
Molecule: long non-coding RNA, 1532 nt
Organism: Myotis daubentonii (Daubenton's bat)
Lineage: Eukaryota; Metazoa; Chordata; Mammalia; Chiroptera; Vespertilionidae
Source: RefSeq, a predicted model, not a curated record